ACAGCAGCCGCCGCGGUAAUACGUAGGUGGCAAGCGUUGUCCGGAAUUAUUGGGCGUAAAGGGCUCGCAGGCGGUUUCUUAAGUCUGAUGUGAAAGCCCCCGGCUCAACCGGGGAGGGUCAUUGGAAACUGGGAAACUUGAGUGCAGAAGAGGAGAGUGGAAUUCCACGUGUAGCGGUGAAAUGCGUAGAGAUGUGGAGGAACACCAGUGGCGAAGGCGACUCUCUGGUCUGUAACUGACGCUCAUGCACGAAAGCGUGGGGAGCAAACAGGAUUAGAUACCCCUGUAGUCCCUGUCUCUUAUAC
Molecule: ribosomal RNA, 305 nt
Filed under: uncultured bacterium
Lineage: Bacteria
Description: partial 16S ribosomal RNA
Rfam family: Bacterial small subunit ribosomal RNA
Source: RNAcentral